CGCUGCUACUAUCAAUCGUUUCUGAGACAUUAUGAAACGCACAGGUUUUUUUUUUCUUCUUCACACACAAAAUAUGGAAGUUGUGGUGAGAUGUCCUCAAGGAUUCUAUUCAUUUUAGGAAACAAAAGUGGUGGGAAUACCUGGCUCCUCUCCCCUGGAAUGUGCUCCUGGUUGUACUAUCCUCAGGGACUUAGUUACAGAAGGAACAGCCUCUCCUCUGUUGUCUGCCCCCAACCUGAGAGACCCACAGGGGUCACUGGGUGAUCAGAGAAUCUCACCUUCCAGCAGAGGAAUGGAGCAGUGUGCGGACCACCGGGAUACUAUUUGGCUUUGCAUUUGAUAGAGCAUAAAGGAAGAAUGAAACCCACUUGGAGUCUUCUGAUUUCCAUCUAAUUGUUAACAAAAUAAUUUAAGCCUAGAGAAGUGGCCUUUUCCCAUCCUGGCAGUCCUAAACUAGUUCACAUGGCAGUUAUUUUAAAGUAAACAUACUUAAAGGAGUACAGGCAGCAUCAUCAUAAAAGAUGAAGAAAUUGCUACUCAGGUCAUAAGACUUGUCAAGGCUACUCAGCCAGUGAGUGGCAGGACCAGAAACAUACCCCAGUCUCUUGAUUUCCAGGCUCCUGUUUGUAUGUCCAUCUAAAGGGUUUCUUCCAGUGUUAAAAGUCUCUGUUUGAGGCGGUAUGAAAUAAUAAUAAAGAUAAUAGCAGCUAAC
Long non-coding RNA from Eptesicus fuscus (big brown bat), 712 nucleotides. RefSeq lists it as uncharacterized. Lineage: Eukaryota; Metazoa; Chordata; Mammalia; Chiroptera; Vespertilionidae. The transcript is spliced from 3 exons. The record is from RefSeq and is a predicted model, not a curated record.